GACAGAGGGGGCAAGCGUUGCUCGGAAUUACUGGGCGUAAAGGGCGCGUAGGCGGGAUGGCAAGUCGGUCGUGAAAUCCCUCGGCUCAACCGAGGAACGUCGAUCGAUACUGCUGUUCUUGAGGAUUGCAGAGGAGACUGGAAUUCCCGGUGUAGCGGUGAAAUGUGUAGAGAUCGGGAGGAACACCGAUGGCGAAGGCGGGUCUCUGGGCAAUUCCUGACGCUGAGGCGCGAAAGCGUGGGGAGCAAACGGG
Molecule: ribosomal RNA, 253 nt
Filed under: uncultured bacterium
Lineage: Bacteria
Description: partial 16S ribosomal RNA
Rfam family: Bacterial small subunit ribosomal RNA
Source: RNAcentral